AAAUUAAAAUUUAUUUUUAGUUAGUAAAAAAAAUAUUUUUUUAAUUAGUAUAUUUUAGAAUAUGAAGUUGAAUAUUAUAGUAAAUUGUAUAGUGAUAGAAUAUUGAAAUAUAAGAAUAUUAGUUUGUGGAUAAGAAAAAUUAAUUUUUUGUACCUUGUGUAUCAGGGUUUAUUAAAAAUAUUUAAUUAGUUAAGGUUCUCGAAUUAGGAAGAGCUAAUAUUAUAUAUAUUUAAUUGUAAAAUAAAUUUUUAAAAUAUAAUAUUAGAAAUGAAACGUUAUUCGUUUCUUAAUAUAUCUAGUUUUUUAAGAAAUAAAUUUAAUUUAGUUUAUAGGUUAAAUUAGGUUAAUUUUUUAAUUUAGUUUAUUUAUAAGGUAAUACUUUAAGGGAUAAGCUUUAAAGUAAAUUAUUAAAAUUAUGUUUUAUUAAUUGAAUAAUUGUAGGAUUGGAAGUUUUUAUCUAUAAUAUGUUAUAAUUAAUUUUCAUGAUAAUAAGAUUUAUAUAAUAGUUUAAGUUAUUUAUUAAAAUAAAAUAUUUAAUAUUAUAAUAUUUGUAAUAAUGAUAAAAUUAGUAUAAGUUAAUGUAUAUGUUUAUAAUUUAAAUAGUAAAGGUUAAGUUAAGGAACUCGGCAAAUACAUUUUUCGCCUGUUUAUUAAAAACAUGUCUUUUUGAGUAUAAUUUAAAGUCUGACCUGCCCAAUGAGGAGUUGAAUGGCCGCGGUAUUUUGACCGUGCAAAGGUAGCAUAAUCAUUAGUUUUUUAAUUGAAAGCUGGAAUGAAUGGUUGGACGAGAAAAUGACUGUCUCAAUUUAAUUUUAAUUAGAACUUUAUUUUUAAGUAAGAAAGCUUAAAUUAGUUUAAAAGACGAGAAGACCCUAUAGAGUUUUAUAUUUUUUUUAUCAUAAAAAGUUUAGAAUUUCUGAAAUUUAUGUUAUAUAAAGUAUUUUGUUGGGGCGACAGAAAAAUUGGUUUAACUUUUUUUAUAAUAUAAUCAUUAAUUUAUGUAUGUAUGAUCCGUUAUUGACGAUUAGAAGAUUAAAUUACCUUAGGGAUAACAGCGUAAUUUUUUUUAAGAGUUCAUAUCGAAAAAAGAGUUUGCGACCUCGAUGUUGGAUUAAAAUUAACUUUUGGUGUAGGGGCUAGAAGGUUAGGUCUGUUCGACCUUUAAAAUUUUACAUGAUCUGAGUUUAAACCGGCGUGAGCCAGGUUGGUUUCUAUCUUUAAAUAAAAGAAAUACUUUAGUACGAAAGGACCUAGUAUUUAUAAUAUUUAUUAAUAAAUUGAUUAUUAUU
RNAcentral lists this ribosomal RNA (1289 nucleotides) under Coenochilus striatus. Its description in RNAcentral is "16S ribosomal RNA". The stretch from base 1048 to 1206 matches the Rfam family "Bacterial large subunit ribosomal RNA", at positions 2473 to 2632 of the family's 2925-position model. Lineage: Eukaryota; Metazoa; Arthropoda; Insecta; Coleoptera; Scarabaeidae. The record is from RNAcentral.